GACGAACGCUGGCGGCGUGCUUAACACAUGCAAGUCGAACGAUGAAGCGGUGCUUGCACCGUGGAUUCGUGGCGAACGGGUGAGUAAUACGUGAGUGACCUACCUUUGACUCUGGGAUAAGCCUGGGAAACUGGGUCUAAUACCGGAUACGACCAAUCUCUGCAUGGGGUGUUGGUGGAAAGCGUUCUGGAGUGGUUUUAGAUGGGCUCACGGCCUAUCAGCUUGUUGGUGAGGUAAUGGCUUACCAAGGCGACGACGGGUAGCCGGCCUGAGAGGGUGACCGGCCACACUGGGACUGAGACACGGCCCAGACUCCUACGGGAGGCAGCAGUGGGGAAUAUUGCACAAUGGGCGCAAGCCUGAUGCAGCGACGCCGCGUGAGGGAUGACGGCCUUCGGGUUGUAAACCUCUGUUAGCAUCGAAGAAGCGAAAGUGACGGUAGGUGCAGAGAAAGCGCCGGCUAACUACGUG
RNAcentral lists this ribosomal RNA (471 nucleotides) under uncultured bacterium. Its description in RNAcentral is "partial 16S ribosomal RNA". It matches the Rfam family "Bacterial small subunit ribosomal RNA", at positions 28 to 507 of the family's 1533-position model. The record is from RNAcentral.